RNAcentral lists this ribosomal RNA (810 nucleotides) under uncultured bacterium. RNAcentral's name for it is "bacterial SSU rRNA". It matches the Rfam family "Bacterial small subunit ribosomal RNA", at positions 34 to 839 of the family's 1533-position model. The record is from RNAcentral.
CGCUGGCGGCAUGCCUUACACAUGCAAGUCGAACGGCAGCACGGGGGCAACCCUGGUGGCGAGUGGCCGAACGGGUGAGUAAAGCAUCGGAACGUGCCCAGUAGUGGGGGAUAGCUCGGCGAAAGCCGGAUUAAUACCGCAUACGACCUACGGGUGAAAGCGGGGGACCGAAAGGCCUCGCGCUAUUGGAGCGGCCGAUGUCAGAUUAGGUAGUUGGUGGGGUAAAGGCCUACCAAGCCGACGAUCUGUAGCUGGUCUGAGAGGACGACCAGCCACACUGGGACUGAGACACGGCCCAGACUCCUACGGGAGGCAGCAGUGGGGAAUUUUGGACAAUGGGCGAAAGCCUGAUCCAGCCAUGCCGCGUGCGGGAAGAAGGCCUUCGGGUUGUAAACCGCUUUUGUCAGGGAAGAAAUAUUCCGGGCUAAUACCCCGGGAGGAUGACGGUACCUGAAGAAUAAGCACCGGCUAACUACGUGCCAGCAGCCGCCGUCACACGUAGGGUGCGAGCGUUAAUCGGAAUUACUGGGCGUAAAGCGUGCGCAGGUGGUUAUGUAAGACAGAUGUGAAAUCCCCGGGCUCAACCUGGGAAUUGCAUUUGUGACUGCAUGGCUAGAGUGUGGCAGAGGGGGAUGGAAUUCCGCGUGUAGCAGUGAAAUGCGUAGAUAUGCGGAGGAACACCGAUGGCGAAGGCAGUCCCCUGGGCCUGCACUGACACUCAUGCACGAAAGCGUGGGGAGCAAACAGGAUUAGAUGCCCUGGUAGUCCACGCCCUAAACGAUGUCGACUGGUUGUUGGGAGGGUUCCCUG